RNAcentral lists this long non-coding RNA (1096 nucleotides) under Oncorhynchus kisutch (coho salmon). RNAcentral's name for it is "lncRNA (ENSOKIG00005035857.1)". The record is from RNAcentral. Lineage: Eukaryota; Metazoa; Chordata; Actinopteri; Salmoniformes; Salmonidae.
GCGAGAGAGAGAGAGAGAGAGAGAGAGGAUGGAGGGGGCAGUGGGAGAGGGAGUGAGAGAGAGAGAGAGAGAGGAUGGAGGGGGCAGUGGGAGAGGGAGAGAGAGAGAGAGAGAGGAUGAGGGGGCAGUGGGAGAGGGAGAGAGAGAAGAUGGAGGGGGCAGUGGGAGAGGGAGAGAGAGAGAGGAUGGAGGGGGCAGUGGGAGAGGGAGAGAGAGAGAGAGAGAGAGAGAGAGAGAGAGAGAGUGAGAGAGAGAGAGAAUGGAGGGGGCAGUGGGAGAGGGAGCGAGAGGCGAGAGAGAGGAUGGAGGGGGCAGUGGGAGAGGGAGAGAGAGAGAGAGAGAGAGAGAGAGGAUGGAGGGGGCAGUGGGAGAGAGAGAGAGAGAGAGAGAGAGAGAGAGAGAGAGGAUGGAGGGGCAGUGGGAGAGGGAGAGAGAGAGAGAGGAUGGAGGGGGGCCGUGGGAGAGGGAGAGAGGAUGGAGGGGGCAGUGGGAGAUGGAGAGAGAGAGAGGAUGGAGGGGGCCGUGGGGAGAGGGAGGAGAGAGAGAGGAUGGAGGGGGCCGUGGGAGAGGGAGAGAGAGAGAGGAUGGAGGGGGCAGUGGGAGAGGGGAGAGCGAGAGAGAGAGAGAGAGAGGGGGGGGAUGGAGGGGGCAUGGAGGAGGGAGAGAAGAGAGGAGAGAGAGAGAGAGAGAGAGAUGGGAUGGAGGGCAGUGGAGAGGGAGAGAGAGAGAGAUGGGAUGGAGGGGGCAGUGGGAGAGGGAGAGAGAGAGAGGGGAUGGAGGGGCAGUGGGAGAGGGAGAGAGAGAGAGAGGGGGGAUGGAGGGGGCAGUGGGAGAGGGAGAGAGAGAGAGGGGAUGGAGGGGGCUAGUGGGAGAGGGAGAGAGAGAGAGGGGAUGGAGGGGGCAGUGGGAGAGGGAGAGAGAGGGGGGAUGGAGGGGCAGUGGGAGAGGGAGAGAGAGAGAGAGGGGGGAUGGAGGGGGCAGUGGGAGAGGGAGAGAGAGAGGGGGGAUAGAGGGGCAGUGGGAGAGGGAAGAGAGAGAGAAAGAGAGAGGAUGGAGGGGGCCGUGGGAGAGGGAGAGAGGAGAAGAGAAGAGGGGG